Molecule: ribosomal RNA, 472 nt
Filed under: uncultured bacterium
Lineage: Bacteria
Description: bacterial SSU rRNA
Rfam family: Bacterial small subunit ribosomal RNA
Source: RNAcentral
UGAGGAAUCUUGGACAAUGGGCGCAAGCCUGAUCCAGCCAUGCCGCGUGAGUGAAGAAGGCCUUCGGGUUGUAAAGCUCUUUUGUCAGGGAAGAAACGGUAGUAGCGAAUAACUAUUACUAAUGACGGUACCUGAAGAAUAAGCACCGGCUAACUACGUGCCAGCAGCCGCGGUAAUACGUAGGGUGCAAGCGUUAAUCGGAAUUACUGGGCGUAAAGCGUGCGCAGGCGGUUGUGUAAGUCAGAUGUGAAAUCCCCGGGCUCAACCUGGGAAUUGCAUUUGAGACUGCACGGCUAGAGUGUGUCAGAGGGGGGUAGAAUUCCACGUGUAGCAGUGAAAUGCGUAGAUAUGUGGAGGAAUACCGAUGGCGAAGGCAGCCCCCUGGGAUAACACUGACGCUCAUGCACGAAAGCGUGGGGAGCAAACAGGAUUAGAUACCCCCGUAGUCCCUGAGCGGGCUGGCAAGGCGCAU